UACGUAGGGGGCAAGCGUUGUUCGGAAUUACUGGGCGUAAAGGGCGCGUAGGCGGCACAGCAAGUCGGGAGUGAAAGCCCGGGGCUCAACCCCGGAAUGGCUUUCGAAACUGCUGAGCUAGAGUACAGAAGGGGCAACCGGAAUUCCCAGUGUAGCGGUGAAAUGCGUAGAUAUUGGGAAGAACACCUGAGGCGAAGGUGGGUUGCUGGGCUGAUACUGACGCUGAGGCGCGAAAGCCAGGGGAGCAAACGGG
This 253-nucleotide ribosomal RNA is filed under the name uncultured bacterium. RNAcentral describes it as "partial 16S ribosomal RNA". It matches the Rfam family "Bacterial small subunit ribosomal RNA", at positions 524 to 776 of the family's 1533-position model. The record is from RNAcentral.